UACGUAGGGUGCGAGCGUUGUCCGGAAUUAUUGGGCGUAAAGAGCUCGUAGGCGGUCUGUCGCGUCGGUCGUGAAAACUUGGGGCUUAACCCUGAGCUUGCGGUCGAUACGGGCAUGACUGGAGUUCGGUAGGGGAGACUGGAAUUCCUGGUGUAGCGGUGAAAUGCGCAGAUAUCAGGAGGAACACCGGUGGCGAAGGCGGCGACCUGGGUAGAUACUGACGCUGAGGCGCGAAAGCGUGGGGAGCAAACAGG
This 254-nucleotide ribosomal RNA is filed under the name uncultured bacterium. RNAcentral's name for it is "partial 16S ribosomal RNA". It matches the Rfam family "Bacterial small subunit ribosomal RNA", at positions 524 to 776 of the family's 1533-position model. The record is from RNAcentral.